Long non-coding RNA from Betta splendens (Siamese fighting fish), 2056 nucleotides. RefSeq lists it as uncharacterized. The transcript is spliced from 3 exons. NCBI's taxonomy places the organism in Eukaryota, Metazoa, Chordata, Actinopteri, Anabantiformes, Osphronemidae. The record is from RefSeq and is a predicted model, not a curated record.
CGAUAAAGUUCUGAGUGGAGCCCGGAGAUGAUUUGUCAGCUCUUUGGGACGUCCUCACCGCUCGCAUUCUGCAAACAGCUGCUUCUGAUGCAGCCAUUUGUUUCUUUGCCUGCUCUUGACCCCGCGAGGCGGAUUCAAGCUACAGCAUGGAGGAAUGGUUUAGGAACAUAUACAGUGUGCCUCCUGUUGACCAGACUCACAGAGUCAACUGGAGCCAGAGCAGAUGAGCGUCCUUUUAUCCAAUCAGAGGGGCUCAACCUGAGUGACUGGGACGCUGGUGGCCAUUCAUAGCCUGCUGAUCAUCACCUGCUUCACGGUCUCCAAGGUCUCUGUCCUUUCCUUCACCCACUCCCUUCCCUUCGUUAUUAAAGCUUGUUAGAAACAUACCUAUGCUGUCAGCAUCUUUUCUGGGUCCGGCCUCUUAUCUCACCAGAAGACAAAGAGACACUGUGUAAAACAGAGAAAAAGACGACCAGUAGCAGAAAUCUCGCGCAUAUUAUAUUGUAUCUCCAACGUGAUGUGGGUCAUAAGCACUUUGUUAGUUCUAUAUGGAUGAAGUACAUACAGAUUCAAAGAAGGCGAAAUGAGUAGAAUUCUGCUGGAUCUGAGAUGAGAGCAAUGAAUCACCUCCAGAUUAAAUCUGGACCCUAAUAAGGGAGAUUUUAUUAGUAAAGUAUGUAAGAAAUCGCUCACAUUUUUCAGGGGAUGAUUUGAUAUUAUGGCUGGCAGGGGAGGCGGUGACAGAUUGAGUUACGCUGAAUAAGACUCCGGAGCGAUGGCGCAUCUCUGAGAUGAAAUCUGGGAAAUAGGACGAUCUUGCUCCUUUACCAGUCGUCUGUUGACAGUUUUGAAUGAAGCGUCUCAAAAUUCUCUAAAGCGACUCGUGGUUUAUUUGUGCUGCCUGAUCGCGGCGCCUUCCUGGAGAUACUUCAUGACCCAAGUGCGUUCGUCAAACUCGGCGUGGGGUUUGUUUGUAAAGUGCCUCCCUCCAGGACGCCGCCGCCGCCGAGCCGCAGUUGUACCACGUCCGGCCGCCAGACCUUUUGUGCUACAAGGGGAUCUGGCAGCUUGUCCCCCAGGAGCCAUUCAUUUCCUAAGCCAAUAUCGCAGACUCUCUCCUUGAUGAACCAUAUGCCGCAAGAAGAAGUUUGUGAUUUGUUUAACAUCCACCUCUCCCUCUCCUCUAGGAACGACAGAAAAAAAACAUUUGGCUACCUUUGCCACCGCUAACGCCAAUAACGCCGACAAGGACAGAGACUUUAUUCCGAGCCGUGCCCACACGCAUUUGUUUUCCACCACAGACCAAAACCCAUUAAAACACUCCGAGCCCAUUUCUUGUCUUACAGCUGUACGGAUGCGGGUGAUGCAUGUGCGUCUGUGUGCAUAUUCAUGCGCUUAUGUACGCUCGGUUUAACCGUGCUUAGAGUAUGUCAGAGGGUCUGGAGUGUAGAGAGGCAGGGAGGGUAUGUGAUGUUCUAAAAUGAGUGGCCCGGUGAGGAAAACAAUAAAGCACGAAUGACAGGAACAGAUGGUCGUCUUUAUUGUCCCCAGAAAUGCAAACACUGAAUAUCUUUACUUGGUGGGUGGCAUUAUUAUAUAUUUAUUUCCUCCCUCCUGUCCCUCUUACUGCUAAUAGCGCCGGUGGCUGGCACCCGCCCAUGUUUAAGACUAAAAGAGGCAGUAAAGGGCUGGAGACAGAUGUUUCUUGUUGGUUGUACAGUAUGUAAUGGUCAGUGACACAGGAUGAAAAAUGGUGGCACCCUGUUAGUCAGGAGAUCCACAUGACAUCACUCCUGCAUGAUGUGUUGUGUCUAAUUCUAAAAAAAAAUAAAAAUAAAUAAAAACAAAAAACCUUGACACCUUCCAAAUUAUUUUCCCACAGAAAACAAGUUUUCAUGAUCAAAACGUUGUGAAUGAACAAAAUCAUUCCGUCCCAGCAUGAGUCAGUGAGAAAUCUUCCAAGCAGCGCUGGACUUCAGAAACAAAUGAUUUCCUCUAUAUUAAGUCCUAUUUGCCACCUGUUCUGCGUUUGAAGCUUCUACGAUGUAAUCAAAGA